This is a long non-coding RNA of Bubalus bubalis (water buffalo), 364 nucleotides long. RefSeq lists it as uncharacterized. The transcript is spliced from 2 exons. Lineage: Eukaryota; Metazoa; Chordata; Mammalia; Artiodactyla; Bovidae. The record is from RefSeq and is a predicted model, not a curated record.
GCGCACCCACAUCUCCCGCGGCGCGCAGCGAGCAGAAAAGCGAAACUUGUUGCUUCCAAAGGGAAAAACAGUUCUUCUGAAGGUAGCAGAAAGCUUGAAAAGCAUCUCCAAGGCGUCCUCUGGACUUUAUGUACUAAGCCAGGCAGGCACAGCAGCGGGGGAAACGAGGAUGGACACGGUCGUGGAGAAGUUGGUGGCCGGAGGAGCCUCCCCAGGGUCCGCCGAGCUGCGGGGCAGGUUCGAAGGGAACUUGACCCUUCGAUCGUGGUAACGCGCCGAGGUCAUUUGCAGUAUGAACGUGCUAUAUUCGAUUGGUGAAUUCUGAUAUUUAAGUCCCACGAAUUAAAAUACAUUAGAAAAUGUU